UGUACAAAGGUAGCAUAAUCAUUUGUCUUUUAAUUAAAGUCUGGAAUGAAUGGUUUGAUGAAAAAUUUACUUUCUUUAUUUUAAAAAAAUAAUUUGAUUUCUCAAUUAAAAAGUUGAGAUUAAAAUAUAGGACGAGAAGACCCUAUAGAACUUUAUUUCAAUAAAUAAAUAAUAUUUUGAUAAUUAAUUUUUAUUUUUUUUAAGAAAUUUUAUUGGGGUGAUAGAAAAAAAUUUAUAACUUUUUUUUAUUUUAUCAUUUAUGUAUGAUUUUUUUGAUCCUUUAUUAAGGAAAAAAGACUAAGUUACCUUAGGGAUAACAGCGUUAUUAUUUUGGAGAGUUCAUAUCGAUAAAAUAGUUUGCGACCUCGAUGUUGGAUUAAAAUAGGUUUCAGGAAUAGAAUAUUGAAAUACUAGGUCUGUUCGA
Molecule: ribosomal RNA, 424 nt
Filed under: Neoambonea cynanchi
Lineage: Eukaryota; Metazoa; Arthropoda; Insecta; Hemiptera; Miridae
Description: partial 16S ribosomal RNA
Source: RNAcentral